AGUGAACGCUGGCGGUAGGCCUAACACAUGCAAGUCGAACGGCAGCACAGUAAGAGCUUGCUCUUACGGGUGGCGAGUGGCGGACGGGUGAGGCAUACAUCGGAAUCUACUUUUUCGUGGGGGAUAACGUAGGGAAACUUACGCUAAUACCGCAUACGACCUACGGGUGAAAGCAGGGGAUCUUCGGACCUUGCGCGAUUGAAUGAGCCGAUGUCGGAUUAGCUAGUUGGCGGGGUAAAGGCCCACCAAGGCGACGAUCCGUAGCUGGUCUGAGAGGAUGAUCAGCCACACUAGAACUGAGACACGGUCCAGACUCCUACGGGAGGCAGCAGUGGGGAAUAUUGGACAAUGGGCGCAAGCCUGAUCCAGCCAUACCGCGUGAGUGAAGAAGGCCUUCGGGUUGUAAAGCCCUUUUGUUGGGAAAGAAAAGCAGCAGGUUAAUACCCCGCUGUUCUGACGGUACCCAAAGAAUAAGCACCGGCUAACUUCGUG
Molecule: ribosomal RNA, 492 nt
Filed under: uncultured bacterium
Lineage: Bacteria
Description: partial 16S ribosomal RNA
Rfam family: Bacterial small subunit ribosomal RNA
Source: RNAcentral